This is a long non-coding RNA of Triticum dicoccoides, 2215 nucleotides long. RefSeq lists it as uncharacterized. The transcript has 2 exons. The record is from RefSeq and is a predicted model, not a curated record. Lineage: Eukaryota; Viridiplantae; Streptophyta; Magnoliopsida; Poales; Poaceae.
UUCUUCCUCCAUAGCUCUCUAAACCCAUCUGGUGCCAUCCACUUACCCAUUGCCCAUCACAACGCUCUCCAAAAGACCCACAUGAAAUAAAUCUCCCAUGGUUCCAGGAAAAGCUCCAGGUCAUUUGAUGUGUUUAUGUUUCUUCUUGUACUUUCAUCGAGCUUGUUCUUGGCAAGCUUCUUUCUCUCCUUUUCAUUUUGACGGGAGUGAUGGACGGAAGAGAGCGUCCUUCAGUCCACUCACAGGCGGUGCUAGGAUCGAAUUAGCUGCCGACUCAUUCAUCCACUUGCCGAGCAAAGUUAUUUGCCGAGGAGCUUAGCAGGUGAGUGAAUGAAGCGGGAGGUAAAGUCUUUGAUCUCGCACCGUCGUUGCUUGGACUGAAGGGUGCUCCCUCCUCCUCUCUAAGCCAUGUUAUGUAGCACGGCACCUGCUUGAUCUGCUCGUUUCUUCGGGCGCCAUACCGCCUGAUCGAUCUGAUCUGUUCUUUUCGAGCUUCUCCGGCAUGAAAUGAUAGAACCUGUGUCGCUCUGGUGUGCUCGCAGUUCUAGUUUGGCUCUUCUUUAAUUUAGUCCGGUAAUGGAUGUCGAGGCUCAAUUUUUCUACUUGUUUAACCAGGCCUUUGUACUAAAAAUCCUUGAUCUGCUCACAGAAGCCUUGUUUUUCUGAAAGCGCAUCUGCUUUGGGUACCUGCGAUGACAUCCUAGAUGCAUGGCUGGGACAAAAUACGGUGCUUUGCUUGCUUUUGCUGGUGUGGGGGAUCGAUCGAUCACAUCGCGCGUCUUUGGGGUCGUGCAAACAGUGAGACGUCUUUCGAUCUCCCUGUUUGCUUUGGAACUUGGCACGCAACCAGGAUGAUUGGACUGGACGUGUGCGUGGCCCUGGUGCUAUGCUAUGCUAGGCUAGCUUUCGGAGCAUGGUCACCACAUGGAUUCGGUCGAGUUCCCCAAACGUUUUUAUCAUCUCCCCGAGGGCUCUUAGGGGCCUAAGUACCCUAUUAAUCUUAGAUUUGUGGUGUACAGUGGAGUAGUUUAUAACCCACUUAUGUUUUUGCAUCUGGAUAUUCUCCCCCCUCGCAUGGAAAUAUGUGAGCAUGCAUGUCGGCUUGUGAUGUGAUUUUAUCAAGUCAGGAUAUGAACAACGUUGUACUCUUUGUAAGCAUGUUGUCAUUAUUUUCACCGAAAUAGUUAUGAAAAAAAUCCUAAUUAGUAUGAUUUCUGGAGAUGCAUCCGGUAGAGUGCUUGUUUACUAGACCUCUCAUUAUUUUACAGAAGUCCUAACAAUAUUAGAUCUUGUUUUGUGCUGCUAGCUAGCUGUUGGUAGAAUUAUUUUACAGUAGUAUGCAUGGUCUGUGUUGGCUUCAUGAGUACAAUUGUUCAUGAUGACUUGAUUGGUGCAAUAAUCUGUCAUACCUAUAUAUAUGUAUUAGUACACACUUUGAAGCAAUUUCGUCCUCUUCAGUUUUCCUAUCUUGUUCAUCUGCAGUCUACAUAUUCAGUUCCAAUUAUUCUCUCAACCUCUUGACAUUUGCCUUCUUGUGAUGGCUAUUAAUUUCUGUACCAAACAGCUUAACAAAUACAGUGACCAGAAAUAUGAUGCCAUGGACAUGAUUAGGAGCUAUGUGCAUUGUUGAGCAGUACUCCACUAUAUAAUGCUUUAUCAUCAACCACACUGCACACGUACGAUGGCUGCUCGCAGAUCUUGUUUGUGAUGAUAGCAAGCGUGCAUGGACUCUCCUUGAAUUGCUGGAUGUUCUUGGUGGGGCUGGGGGUUACUGCGCAGGCCGGCCCGCUAUGUCGGUCAAAGCUGUGGGAGGCACUGUCUAGCCUUUUCACUGCAGAUUAAUGUUCUGUUCUUGACUGCCUCCUUUUGUACUCCCAUGUCCUCCUUUUCAUCGCCAAUUAAUGGUCCGUGAUCCUGAAGAAAGGCGGUGAAUUAGUGAUGGGAUUGCAGACAUGUGCUGCUGCUUCGGGACAUAGCUAGGAAUUAAUGUUGGAGCCAGGCAUAUUUUGCAAAUGCAACGGUACUGCCAGCGCAUGUAGAUGUAGUACUGAUUGUUGCUUACGAAUCUAGUGCGAUGUGUGUGGCUCCUGUGUGUUGUUGAGUGUUAAUUUGCAGCCAAUGUACCCCUAUGUGGUUCUUCAUCGUGUUUUGCAAUUGUGAUUGUCACGCACUCUUGCUAAAUGGCAAACUGGUACUGUAUUAUUUUUCAUUUUCA